UACAGAGGGUGCGAGCGUUGUCCGGAAUCACUGGGCGUAAAGGGCGCGUAGGCGGCCCGGUAAGGUUGCGGUGAAAGCCCGGGGCUCAACCCCGGGUCGGCCGUGGCAACUGCUGGGCUGGAGCACAGUAGAGGCGGGUGGAAUUCCGGGUGUAGCGGUGGAAUGCGUAGAGAUCGUAAGGAAGACCAGUGGCGAAGGCGGGUCUCUGGACAGUUCCUGACACUGAGGCACGAAGGCCAGGGGAGCAAACGGG
Molecule: ribosomal RNA, 253 nt
Filed under: uncultured bacterium
Lineage: Bacteria
Description: partial 16S ribosomal RNA
Rfam family: Bacterial small subunit ribosomal RNA
Source: RNAcentral